UAAAACAAGAUGAUCAGGAGAGUAGUUAUCCAAUGAUUGCGCAGAGAGUUCACGUUUGCUGAAAGUGAAUGAAUCAGAAGAUAAUGAAUAUGGCCUGUAAUUUGGCAUCGCUGAUAAUUAAGCGAUGAUGGGGUGGCAACCAUUAUUAAUUGCACGCGUUUAUAUAGACGUUAUUGAGGGUGGGAGUGCAAGCUUCCACUGAAUUAGAAUGGUACCACGGAACUCCGUUUCUAGA
Molecule: regulatory RNA element, 235 nt
Rfam family: T-box leader
About the family: Uncharged tRNA acts as the effector for transcription antitermination of genes in the T-box leader family. T-boxes are found upstream of many aminoacyl-tRNA synthetase genes and some amino acid biosynthetic genes usually in Gram-positive bacteria. The anticodon of a specific tRNA base pairs to a specifier sequence within the T-box motif, and the NCCA acceptor tail of the tRNA base pairs to a conserved bulge in the T-box antiterminator hairpin.
Source: Rfam